GACGAACGCUGGCGGCGUGCCUAAUACAUGCAAGUAGAACGCUGAAGAGAGGAGCUUGCUCUUCUUGGAUGAGUUGCGAACGGGUGAGUAACGCGUAGGUAACCUGCCUGGUAGCGGGGGAUAACUAUUGGAAACGAUAGCUAAUACCGCAUAAAAUUGAUUAUUGCAUGAUAAUUAAUUGAAAGAUGCAACUGCAUCACUACCAGAUGGACCUGCGUUGUAUUAGCUAGUUGGUGAGGUAACGGCUCACCAAGGCGACGAUACAUGGCCGACCUGGGAGGGUGAUCGGCCACACUGGGACUGAGACACGGCCCAGACUCCUACGGGAGGCAGCAGUAGGGAAUCUUCGGCAAUGGGGGGAACCCUGACCGAGCAACGCCGCGUGAGUGAAGAAGGUUUUCGGAUCGUAAAGCUCUGUUGUAAGAGAAGAACGGGUGUGAGAGUGGAAAGUUCACACUGUGACGGUAUCUUACCAGAAAGGGACGGCUAACUACGUG
This 497-nucleotide ribosomal RNA is filed under the name uncultured bacterium. Its description in RNAcentral is "partial 16S ribosomal RNA". It matches the Rfam family "Bacterial small subunit ribosomal RNA", at positions 28 to 507 of the family's 1533-position model. The record is from RNAcentral.